AGAGGUUCUUCAUGGAAAAAUUUGCCUCUCCUAAGAGGGUAGAAAGCCAAAGUCAAAAUUCCAAACUUAAAAGUUCCAAACAUAACUCAUAUGUUUUCUCUAAGGAGCGAAAAGAACCCUAAUAAUUAUAACCAUGUCUUUAACGGAACCUCCGCCGAGGCACACCAUCGUAGCUCGACCUCCUGUUUCCCGAAGUUUCGAUUCCUUCAAUUGAAUCCGAAAUUCCGAACAUCUCGGACUUCGAAGUUCCGUCAACUGAAUCCGAAAUUCCGAACAUCCCAGACUUCGAAUACGAUUGAAGCUCCCGCCCUCAUUUCCCUCUGAUUCAGACUACGAACCAGUAAUCUGCCAGUCAAUAACCCCAUGAAAGAGAGAGCCACUAGAUAAUCCCCUAGAGAGAGAGAGAGAGAGAGAGAGAGAGAGAGAGAGAUAUAUUGUAGAGAGAGAAGAAGAGAGAGAGAGAGAGAGAGAGGAGGAGUGGAGGAGGAGUGUGUACGACGACGACGACCUACCUCUACCUCCUCNNNNNNNNNNNNNNNNNNNNAACGUAACGUAACGUAACUACGUAACGUACGAACGUAACGAACGUAACGUAACGUAACGUAACGAACGAACGACGACGUACGUACGUAACGUACGUACGACGAGAGAGAGAGAGAGAGAGAGAGAGAGAGGAGAGGAGAUAAUUUCUUGAGAGAGAGAAAAUGAAGGAUGAAGA
Molecule: long non-coding RNA, 718 nt
Filed under: Amborella trichopoda
Lineage: Eukaryota; Viridiplantae; Streptophyta; Magnoliopsida; Amborellales; Amborellaceae
Description: long non-coding RNA (ATRI_LNC001278)
Source: RNAcentral